CUGAAAAACCCCUGUUGUUAUUCAACUACAAGAAUAACCCCCCCCCA
This 47-nucleotide transfer RNA is filed under the name Melanosuchus niger (black caiman). RNAcentral describes it as "partial tRNA-Glu". Lineage: Eukaryota; Metazoa; Chordata; Crocodylia; Alligatoridae. The record is from RNAcentral.